Molecule: ribosomal RNA, 392 nt
Filed under: uncultured bacterium
Lineage: Bacteria
Description: bacterial SSU rRNA
Rfam family: Bacterial small subunit ribosomal RNA
Source: RNAcentral
GGAUUAGAUACCCGGGUAGUCCACGCCCUAAACGAUGUCAACUAGUUGUCGGGUCUUCAUUGACUUGGUAACGCAGCUAACGCGUGAAGUUGACCGCCUGGGGAGUACGGUCGCAAGAUUAAAACUCAAAGGAAUUGACGGGGACCCGCACAAGCGGUGGAUGAUGUGGAUUAAUUCGAUGCAACGCGAAAAACCUUACCUACCCUUGACAUGUACGGAAGCCCGGAGAGAUUCGGGCGUGCUCGAAAGAGAGCCGUAACACAGGUGCUGCAUGGCUGUCGUCAGCUCGUGUCGUGAGAUGUUGGGUUAAGUCCCGCAACGAGCGCAACCCUUGUCAUUAGUUGCUACAUUCAGUUGAGCACUCUAAUGAGACUGCCGGUGACAAACCGGAG